CCCCUCUCUCUCCCGCUUUCUCUCUCGUCUCUACCAAGUGAGGGAACAGCAAGAAGACAGCCAUCUGCAAAGAAGAGGGCUGUCACCAGACACUAGCUCUGCUGGCAUCUUGGACUUCCCAGCCUCCAGAAUGGAAACCUGUGCCCCAGCACCUGUCUGCUUCUGUCAUGGGGUUGUACUCCAGGAACCAUCGUGCACCUGGCAGCCCUCUCACCCUGCAGGCAGCGAGCCCGGGGAGCCAUAAAGAACUUCUUUUAGAAUGGAUUCACUGACUGAAAUCACGCUUUGGGUGAAGAAAUGGAAGCUCAGAGAAGUUGUGGUGCCUGUUCAAGAUCACUCAGCUG
RNAcentral lists this long non-coding RNA (344 nucleotides) under Homo sapiens (human). RNAcentral describes it as "HSALNT0223537". Lineage: Eukaryota; Metazoa; Chordata; Mammalia; Primates; Hominidae. The record is from RNAcentral.